RNAcentral lists this ribosomal RNA (291 nucleotides) under Triticum aestivum (bread wheat). RNAcentral describes it as "partial small subunit ribosomal RNA". Lineage: Eukaryota; Viridiplantae; Streptophyta; Magnoliopsida; Poales; Poaceae. The record is from RNAcentral.
AUGGAAAGCCUACUCCAUUGGGACUUUGCUCCAGGCCUUGCCCUGGCAGAUUAGGUGAGAAGAAAUUUUGGAUCAACGGUGCACUUCUCUCCCUCUCGGGACACCAAGGAGUUCUUUUUGGUGGUCACUUUCUCUUCGGCCUCCUUUCCCCUCACGAUUAAUUUGAUUGGGGUUGCGUUGCAAUGGUGCAUUGGAGGGAUUUGUUCGGGUUUCAAUGUGGUUUCAAUUACAUCCCGUCAUUCUGUUUUUCUGCGACCAACAACAAAGUGGGGCACUUUAUACAUGGGCUAA